RNAcentral lists this ribosomal RNA (153 nucleotides) under Alternaria sp. Utah 8. Its description in RNAcentral is "5.8S ribosomal RNA". It matches the Rfam family "5.8S ribosomal RNA". From Rfam's summary of the family: 5.8S ribosomal RNA (5.8S rRNA) is a component of the large subunit of the eukaryotic ribosome. It is transcribed by RNA polymerase I as part of the 45S precursor that also contains 18S and 28S rRNA. Functionally, it is thought that 5.8S rRNA may be involved in ribosome translocation. Lineage: Eukaryota; Fungi; Ascomycota; Dothideomycetes; Pleosporales; Pleosporaceae. The record is from RNAcentral.
CCACUUCAACAACGGAUCUCUUGGUUCUGGCAUCGAUGAAGAACGCAGCGAAUCGAUACGUAGUUUGAUGCAGAAUUCAGUGAAUCAUCGAAUCCUUGAACGCACAUUGCGCCCUUUGGUAUUCCAAAGGGCAUGCCUGUUCGAGCGUCAUUU